Molecule: ribosomal RNA, 529 nt
Filed under: uncultured bacterium
Lineage: Bacteria
Description: bacterial SSU rRNA
Rfam family: Bacterial small subunit ribosomal RNA
Source: RNAcentral
UAGUCCACGCCGUAAACGAUGGAUACUAGGUGUCCGGGAUAUUAACCUCCUGGGUACUACAGUUAACGCGUUAAGUAUCCCGCCUGGGGAGUACGGUCGCAAGGCUAAAACUCAAAGGAAUUGACGGGGGCCCGCACAAGCGGUGGAGUAUGUGGUUUAAUUCGAAGCAACGCGCAGAACCUUACCUACCCUUAACAUUUCACGACGUAUACAGAGAUGUAUAUUUCUCUUCGGAGACGUGAGGAUAGGUGCUGCAUGGCUGUCGUCAGCUCGUGUCGUAAGAUGUCUGGUUAAGUCCAAUAACGAGCGCAACCCUUAUCCUUAGUUACCAGCAUUAAGUUGGGGACUCUAGGGAGACUGCCGGUGUUAAACCGGAGGAAGGCGGGGAUGACGUCAAGUCCUCAUGGCCCUUACGGGUAGGGCUACACACGUGCUACAAUGGCCGUGACAAAGAGUUGCUACUUUGUGAAAACAAGCUAAUCUCAUAAACGCGGCCUCAGUUCGGAUUGCAGGCUGAAACUCGCCUGCA